CUACGGUGAACUCCCCCAUUUUCUUAACAUAAAAAGAAAAAAAAUCUGUUAUCAUCUCACUCUAUCCCCAGUUCCCCACCAGCAUCCUUAUCCAUCCACAUGGGUCAUCUUCUCCAAUUAGCAGCCGGUGGAUGAAGAUGUCACCGCUAGCCAUCACCGAACUAAUUCCCAAGCCAUUCCGAAUCCACUUCUCGAUUCAUUUCUUCCAAUUUCUCCUCGUUGAGGUACUGCGGCAGUUGACCGUGUGUGCGGAGUGCGUGGACGCGUUUGUCGCGUUCUGGAGGAUGUGGAUGCUCGACGACGUCGUCGAGUCUGGCAGGGUGGCCAUGGGGAGGAGCAGGGAAAACACAAAAGCUACACUGCUCAACCUCUUGGAUGGUCGAUGGCUAGAGGGCCGUGGCUGAGGUGUUGUCGCUUGGCCUCGUGGAGGAGCCUAUCAGGGAAAUCACCGAAUCACCCACUGAGGUUGAUUGUUGGUUCUGGAACAUGAGGUACGGGACAGAGGCUGGCCUUGCUGCUAUUGUCCUCCGUGAGAUGCUCGCCUCCUCAUUGUUGUUGCUAUCAGACUACUACCAAAUAAUGGCGGCACGGGGUAAAAAUGGCGGCACGCAACAACAGAGAGGCCAUUGAUUUGCUUAUAUCGGGUUCUGCUAUUAAGUUACUGAAGCAAGGUAUGUUCCUGUCUAUUUUGGUGGCCUCAUAUAGAUUUGCCAAUUGUGAAGUGAAUCCUAAUGUCUGAAGUAUGUUCUUGUAUAUUGUGCUGGCCUCGUACAGAUUCGGAUAAAAUAGCAUGUACAUGAAGGAAACUACAUGAAGAAAGUCUUCAAUUUUUUUGGAUUAAUAAUAUUUCUAACACUCACACGCUUAAUCUAAUAUAAGUAUCCUUAUCCUGGUCGAUGUACGUACUCCUACUUAUCUUGGUCGAUACAAAUAGUCUGUCGUACUAUUUACUUCAUCUUCAUGCAUUGUAUUUUUGGCUUUUGUAUAACAUGUCUAUUGUUCCCGCGGACUCCCUUUUCCUAUUGUUCUUGCAAAUUCGUCUCGGUGCAUUCAUCCUCUGAGUCAUUUGAAAUCACAACAGAUCUUAGUCUCCUUUUAUUGCCAUUAUGGAGCUCACGUGCUUGCUGAUGAUGAUAUUUUGUCUUGACGCCCAUCUUUGUUGAAUGUACUCCUGUCACUGUCAAUCUGGUUUCUCUUUCACACGCACCAGUUUGCAUGAAAGUUUGUCGGGUGAAACUUUAUUAUUCUGUGAUUGCAUACAUAUAAAUUUUAGAAGUUUGACACAUCUCUAAAAUCUAAAGUGUGUAUAGUUAAAAAAUCAAUCACCUUUUUAUCUGGCAUGUUCUGCUUCUUCAUUAACAUGGUGUCCACCUUAUCAUCCAUCAAUUCCUGUGCAACAUAUGUAAGAUGAACUAGUUAAGGAAUUCUAAAGAUGAUACUUCAUAUUUCUUAAAAAAAGUUAAUGCACCUUUACUUCUUCGACUUGAUCGUUCAAGUAGAGCAUCUCAAGCCUAUCAUCAGGCACAAAUGUCCUUUUGUUACAUAGUUUUGUGUUUCAAAGGUGAGGUUAUAUUAUUGAGCCUAAAUCAAAAUAUAAGUUUUUCCACAUAAUUUUUUAAUAAUCUUUGGUGCUUCUUAUGAUUUUGCAUCCAGUGAGUUCAGCAAGUGAGAUGUAGAUGUAUUAAUCAAGUUAUUCUUCUCUCCACGGGAUUCAUUUGUGUUGUAGUCCAAUAACAUUUGUUUAUUGGGAGAUUAUUGAUAUAACAGUUAGAUAUAUCAAUUAUCUGUAAGUCAUAAUAAUAACUAUCAACAUACCUGAGCAUUGUGUACCUUUUUCUGUCAUUUCUUAUAGUGUGCCCAUGGUAGCAAACUCGCUACAAUAAUCCGGGAGAACUUUCGAAGAUCCUAAUAUCAUUUACCUGUCUAUUGUAUGAAAAAAUAUUUUAAUUUCAUUGCUCACUGGCCUAUACUUUGUAGAUUCCACAACCUUAAAGUUGCUGAAUGCAUAAAUAGAUUUCUCAUUGAUCUUUGAUCUAAACAUGUCUAUUAGAUUCUUCUAGAUAGUAGCAUGGAUUGUUUAACCCUGUCGAAACAAUCAAAUAUGGUUAGUAACUGCUUCUUAACUUGAAAAAAAAUCCAAUUAAAUAUAUAAAAAACAUAUCUGCUCAUCCAUCAGUAUCGUAUGUAGGCUAAUAAGCUCAUAGGUUGUAGGAUUGACUGAAUCCCACACUCUUGUGUUCAAUUGAAUGUUCUAAUUUUGUCCGCUUGUAGUUAAGUCGCUCAACUUCUUGUAUGUGAUAGUGUUAUUUCCUCAAAACUAAUAGAAAGCGGUAUAUGAAUUAACAUAGGAUUUAUGAAGAUUCUAGCCAGAAAAAGUUAGCUUGCUAAAUAACACUCACCAAAUCUGAUGAUUCAGGCCAGAAGUGCUUUGGCGUGACUUCUUCCAACAUUGAUUGGAGCAAUUGGGUGUGGCUUUGUUGGGCGUCGGGCGUGCUUUGGCGUGACUUCAUCGGGCGUCGAGUGAAGCGGCUGAGCAUGGAUUUUUGUGGUAGCUCUUUCGACUUCAAUCUGUUCAAGUCAUGGUGAUUGUCAACUUCUAAUUGCUUGGUGUGUGAUUGUGCGGCCGGCUGUACUUGUUUAUAUGGUUGAGGUGGCUGGGUUUGAGAUCGCCGAGACAUGCGGAAAUAUGAUCCUAACCUUGUCCUAUUUUUAUAUUUUGGAAUUUUCAUCAUGUGAGAUAUGAAAGUUGUCCUUAUUAGUUUA
This is a long non-coding RNA of Triticum aestivum (bread wheat), 2763 nucleotides long. RefSeq lists it as uncharacterized. The transcript has 2 exons. The record is from RefSeq and is a predicted model, not a curated record. NCBI's taxonomy places the organism in Eukaryota, Viridiplantae, Streptophyta, Magnoliopsida, Poales, Poaceae.